This 834-nucleotide ribosomal RNA is filed under the name uncultured rumen bacterium. Its description in RNAcentral is "bacterial SSU rRNA". It matches the Rfam family "Bacterial small subunit ribosomal RNA", at positions 461 to 1301 of the family's 1533-position model. The record is from RNAcentral.
GGACGAUAAUGACGGUACUUUAGGAGGAAGCUCCGGCUAACUACGUGCCAGCAGCCGCGGUAAUACGUAGGGAGCGAGCGUUGUCCGGAAUUACUGGGUGUAAAGGGAGCGUAGGCGGGAUUGCAAGUCAGAUGUGAAAUGCAGGGGCUCAACCCCUGAGCUGCAUUUGAAACUGUAGUUCUUGAGUGAAGUAGAGGUAAGCGGAAUUCCUGGUGUAGCGGUGAAAUGCGUAGAUAUCAGGAGGAACACCGGUGGCGAAGGCGGCUUACUGGGCUUUUACUGACGCUGAGGCUCGAAAGCGUGGGAAGCAAACAGGAUUAGAUACCCUGGUAGUCCACGCUGUAAACGAUGAUUACUAGGUGUGGGGGGACUGACCCCUUCCGUGCCGCAGUUAACACAAUAAGUAAUCCACCUGGGGAGUACGGCCGCAAGGUUGAAACUCAAAGGAAUUGACGGGGGCCCGCACAAGCAGUGGAGUAUGUGGUUUAAUUCGAAGCAACGCGAAGAACCUUACCAGGUCUUGACGUCGUAUGCAUAACUUAGAGAUAAGUGAAAUCCCUUCGGGGACAUAUAGACAGGUGGUGCAUGGUUGUCGUCAGCUCGUGUCGUGAGAUGUUGGGUUAAGUCCCGCAACGAGCGCAACCCUUACCUUUAGUUGCUACGCAAGAGCACUCUAAAGGGACUGCCGUUGACAAAACGGAGGAAGGUGGGGAUGACGUCAAAUCAUCAUGCCCCUUAUGACCUGUGCUACACACGUACUACAAUGGCAAUCAACAAAGAGAAGCAAGACAGUGAUGUGGAGCGAAUCUCAAAAAAUUGUCCAGUUCAGAUUGC